Molecule: ribosomal RNA, 238 nt
Filed under: uncultured bacterium
Lineage: Bacteria
Description: partial 16S ribosomal RNA
Rfam family: Bacterial small subunit ribosomal RNA
Source: RNAcentral
CGGCGGACGGGUGAGUAACGCGUGGGUAACCUGCCUCAUACAGGGGGAUAACAGUUAGAAAUGACUGCUAAUACCGCAUAAGACCACAGCACCGCAUGGUGCGGGGGUAAAAACUCCGGUGGUAUGAGAUGGACCCGCGUCUGAUUAGCUAGUUGGUAAGGUAACGGCUUACCAAGGCGACGAUCGGUAGCCGACCUGAGAGGGUGACCGGCCACAUUGGGACUGAGACACGGCCCAA